Rhipicephalus microplus (southern cattle tick) is the source of this 7780-nucleotide long non-coding RNA. Lineage: Eukaryota; Metazoa; Arthropoda; Arachnida; Ixodida; Ixodidae. The record is from RefSeq and is a predicted model, not a curated record.
GCUAUAAAAAUCCGCGUGACGUUCAUCUCGGUGGAACUUCUCGCAGGGACGUGCGCUGGAGCUUGCGGCCGCGUGUCUGCGAUAAGUUCCCACCACCACCUCCCGCCCCCACGGCGCGACUACCCGCCUGGAUGUCGGCGUCCGCUGGAAGGGAGUGAGUCACCGGUGGUCGCACUAAUUGUACAUAUCAUCAUCCCUGUAAAUAAUAUAUUUCUCAUUGUACAUAGCCAUAGUCUUCUUAUUAAACUGAUGAAAUGUCGAAUUCUGCAGUCCGUCGCAAUUCUAUUGUCGCUGAGCGGCCGCCAUCUUGGUAGGCUUAGCAAAUAUGCCGUCGUUAGGCUUACAUGUUCACUGACAUAAUGGCCCCACAUGCCGAUUCGUAAAGCUGGUAGUUUCCCGUCCAUUGCUGCAAAUAGUCAGUAACCUUGUAUUUUUAAUUUUUAUCUGCACAGCUAUGAUGAUUCGCGUUGAUGUGCUUGAUUUCUCUUGUCUAUAGGCGACCUUGUUGAACAGUUCCCAGUCGUCGCAACGUUUUCAAGAAUAACGUGUUCUUUUUGCAGUAGAUAUCCCAAGCCGAUGAGAAGGUCGAGCACCCUUUUAUGUGUUGAAAGAGACUUGCGUUUCAGACCUUGAGAGUAUCGAAGAAAAUUCUGCAUUACUUCUGCAACUCCAGCAAAUUUUGCAAGUACUUGAGAAAAGUUCGUACGGGAUGGAUGAUAGCACUGCAUCGCCGUCGUCGCCUGUCAUGGAUUUGACUUUUCAACUCUUGGGUUUGCCCGCUCUUUUUCUUUUGUACACUAUUCAUGGCGUGGCUUCAUUUGUCAAUUAGCGAAUCGAUCAAAGAUUUUUUGAGUUUUUAUACUUGUCAUAAAAUGUAAGUUUCAUCUAGUUCAAGUUAUUGGUUGAUUACAUCAACUAUGCUAUGACGAAUUUUCCUAAAUUGCCAUCGCCAUUUCAGCCAAGGCACAUACAUUCUUCGUUCGAGAAGUCUGAUUGCUAUCUUUUGCUUUUGACCUUCUUCUCCAUUUCUAUAGCACCAAGUCCUAUUCAAAGAGAAGUCUUCACAGUACUCUGGAUUUACAGUGGAAGUAUUGCAAAGAUUGUGUUGGGGAAACUGCUAAAAGCUGACCAAUAUGGGAAUCUUGACCAAGGAUAGAAUUCUGGCUCAAGCUUCGAAAGCCAUUGUACAGUUCAAGGGGAAGAAAUGCCAAAGAACCCGAUCAGAGCUCAAAUCGUAACUUCUUCUGAAGUAUGGCAAGUUUGAAGUAAUGUGAAGCACAAGCUGUAAGUCGUCCUCUUGAAGAGUUCUCCAAGAUUUGUAUGCCAGUUAUGUUUUUAUGUGGAAACAUGGUGUUCCUGGUUUUAAAGUGCAGAUUCCAGCUAUGAAGUAUACAGUGCACAAUGAAGUUUCUCAAGGUUUCAAGUUUUGGUUCAAGUGGUCCUAGUUAGCGACAUUGAAUUGGAAUAGUCGGUGUUCAAGUAAUGUGAAUGUUCAAGAACAGUCCGUAUCCAAGCUUCAAAAUUCUUUGUGGUAGUUGUCAAGAAAUUUUUUUAUUUAACCUUCAAGCAGUCGUCAAGAGAUCUGCUAUCUGAAGUUAAAGCUUGAAGAAAUUUGAGAAGAAAUAGCAAGCAAGCAUUUAGGUUUUGGCCGAUGUGCUUAUGAAGUUUAAGUUAAAGAAAUAUUGCAAGCAGUUAAUUUUUGCAAGAUGUGCUCACUGAAGUUAAAGCAUGAAGAAAUGUCGGAGAACAAAGAAAAAUUACCAAGUAGUUAAAUUUUGCAAGAUGUGCUCUAUGAAGUUGAAGACAAUUCUGAGAAAUUUCACUUGCAAGUAGUUGAAUAUCUAUCACAAGAUGUGCUCUGAAGUUAGAAGAUUGAAGAAAUAGAACAGACCAGAAGAAAGAUUAUUCCAAGAGGGGGGAGGGGUCAUCUUACAGAAAAGAUUUAUUUAUACAUACAGAGCAAGAAACUCGGGCACAGUAGAUCGUGCCAGACAGAAGUGCCAAGGUUGCCCGAAAAGAAAUAACCGGAUAGCAAGUUUCGCCGUGCAUUGGAACUGGUUUGCUUUUCUCUUUUUCAGUAGGCUAGCUCAAUUUUUGGUGCUGCAUUAAAGCGAAAAUUUCUUAGCAGUGCUUACAUUUUAUAGCAGCAGCACAUAGGCUUAGGCUAGGCAUGAAUUUGGAACGAGUUUGAGGCUCAGGCAUGUUUGUUUUGCAGGUAUGCACGGGGACUGCCCAACGAGAUUUAGUGUCUGAAUGACCUGUAAUGAAAACGAGGGAUCGUUCAUUUAAUAGAAGGCAUCGCAAUGGUUACGCUGGUGUGUAGCUCCCACAGGUAUUCGUGAGUUCUUGUUGCAUUUGUUUCCCUGAACUUGUCCAUCUGUUACGUAACGUUGCAUUGCAUUUGUAAUUGACCACUUUCCUAUAGCAGCUGUACUAGUGCUCGCAAAAAAAAAAAUGUAUACAUAGUAUACUCCUCUGCAUUUCUGCGAAGUCCUUUUUCAGUCGAAUAUUUUCUCCAGCAUGUCUUGGGGAGGGGGGGGGCGUGUUGUAUGCUUUGCUUGAGACCCAUUGCAGCUAACUAGGUGUACCACCUGGAUGACAUAGACCUUAGUGACACCAUCACUGCUACGACACAAUCACAUCGUCUCACUGCGUCCUGGAGUCUCCGUGCGUUGCUUUCCAUUCUGCCUGGUGCGCCCUGGUCUUGUUUUUGUCCGUCCUGGCUGCACGGAAAUUCUCUCGUAAGCCACGUGUGAAUGGGGUUUUCGUUCUUCCUAUGAAAUUUGCACGGACCGUUUCCUAACUGCAAUAAGUUGCAAGUUGCUUUGCUAGUCUUUCAGACUGGGUACUGCAAGGCUUUUGUAAUGCUGAAGUGCGAACUUUGUGGGGGAGGGUUAAUUGUGCAGCUAUUGCAAGUUAACAGUAUCACCUGCAUUAGAGCACUUUGAAUUGUAACCUGCUGAAGCAUUGCAUGCAAUUUCUUCGCAUUGGUCGUCAAUCGUCGCCAGAGCAUUUUUAGAUUGGAUGGGGGGGGGGGGGGGGUAGCGGUAAUUGUGAUUAGUGUUUUUGCAGGAAGCUAGGUGUUUGGCAUAAAGGUCUGGAGCAAACCCUGCUGUUGUGAGCAGCCGACAUUAUUGCCGGGUAAGGGGAUUUUGAUGUAAUAGGGAAGAAGUUUCGGCGUAUUAUGCAAGUUUGUGCAGUGCCGAGGUAGCCAGGAUCUGGAAGAUCGGCAGAUCUCGUAAGCAUUUUUCUGGGGGCGGGGAAAGGGGCUGCUAUGGAAUAUCUAGUUUUUGCAGUGCUUGACGGAAGUUCCUUAAACUGGACCUGGAGAGAAGCUGCCGUAAGCAUUAUUUUUUGUAAGGGGAGGAGAUUUGGUUAAGUCUGUACAGUGCCAACAAUCUUUUACUUAGCAUUUCUAAGCGUCUUGUUUACGGUGGAGAGGGGGGGGAUUCACUUAACUUUUUCUUCUCCAAGAGUCGUACAGUUCGGUGCUCAUGGCAGUGCCUGUCUGCAGAAGAGGACCAAAUGUAAGCAGAGUGAAUUGAACUGCUAAUGGGGGUUGGGAGUGGUAAUUGACCUGUGCUGCGGAGCUUAUUUCAGCAUGAUUUGAGGAGUGCGAGUGGCUUUGUGUGGAUGGGGGGGGGCGUGCAUGAGUCCUUGCAGUUACGUGCCGACCCAUAGCUUCCCAUGUGCUUCACUGGCUGGCAAAGAGAAAGCGGGACGCGGUCCCUUUCCGGUGUGCUGGGCCCUCUUCGCCGAUAUUGGUUGCAGGGAGUACUUCUGUAGUAUUUGCUCCUGUGGUUUUGGGACCACCGCUUAUGUUGCCGUUAAAAUGCGCCUAGGCAAGAAGUUGGGGAAACGUAUCGAGAUCCUGUUCUGGUGUCCUGGCCCUAAAGCCCGCCGACCGCGAAGAUCCCUGUACCGGCUACCGGGCUGCUUAACUCCAUUCUACGCCGCCGCCUGCCGAGCGUGUAUGGGCAUGCUGGCCCUCGAGGACACGGUGCUGUGCACGCAGGUUUGCUCAGAGGCUUUCAUCUCUGCAGUCACUAAAUGUGGGGCUGUGUUUUUUUGUAGGGUUGUAGCUAGCUAUUUACACCUAGCCAACCUUGUGGAUUAUUGCUUAAGGUUAAGGUUAGUCCAGGUAGCAUUGCGUAACGGUGUGUGGGUAGUCGGCGUUUUCUUGCAGCUCCUGGCGCGAGUGUGUGCAAUGCCAAUGUGCGGGGCCGCUCCGGGCUGGCUGUGUUGUGUGCCGCUAUGAUGCCGAGGCGUCGAGCGUGUGCCGCGAUGAUGCCGUAAAGCAAGGCGUCGAGCAAGGGGUAUCCUUCCCUGCGUCGGCCUAUACAUCUGAGGCCGUGGUUCCCGUGCUUUCCCCGGUGUAGUGUGCAAGGACCGCCGGCGACGCGUCUUGUGCGAGUAGCGUGUGAGGCGUGCCAGGGCCGUCAUUGGAGGAUGCGUGUUCUCCCUCAAGUCAAGAUAUCUUUCCAAGAGUUCCAUUGCCAGCCUAGUCCGACCGAGAUGUCAUCGCGGCUUCAUUACCUAGCUCGUUCGACGACGCCUACCUAGCCCCAUCUAAAUGCCACCACUAAUGUCCCCCAGCGAUUGAAGCUUCAUCUGGCACUUGAUAUUCCUCUGCUGUAAAAAGGCUGAUCCUUCAAGCGAGAAAUGGACUAUUUGUCAAGAGAUUCCAAAGAUAUAAUGAAUACCAUUUAAGCUGAAAAGUGAACGCUGUUACAGAUCUAUUCUCCCCAAUUUUAUCAAGCAGUUUUGACCUUAUAUUUUUUUAAAGACCAUGUAAUUCAGUGCAAGUGUUAUGCACUGCUUAUUCCAGUUUUACAGCUUUUGUGAUGGUCAGUUUCAUUCGACUAUAUUCGUGAUCAUUUUUAUGCUGUAUCAUCUCGUUAUCCUCAAUUACAAUUCACUUGUGUUGAAGUUGGAAAUGGCAAAAGUAUGGGGGCAUAUGUAACGCAAGUAGCUCCAAAUGCAUUGUUGGCAAACAUAGCUUAACUCAUUUUUAAUGCAGUCUGAAUAAUGGCACUAAUUGAACGUGUGCCUUGAAAUGUUCCCAACAUUUUUGCUUGUCAGCAUUCCAGAGUUUGAAAGAUCUAUUGAUCACCAAACGAAUGGUGUUAAUGUAAACGGCAGCUGUAGUGACUAAAUUACUUGCAAACAGCCAUUGUUUAUGGUCUACACCUAAGUUGCAUACUUCAAAAUUGCAAUCGUUGGUCAAUGCAAACAUGUUCAUUUACACAUAGUUUGUCGGCUCUGAUGCAUUGCGUUAGAUGCAUCAUUACAAAGCUAAUAUGCGUGCACGUAAAGCAUAUGCAUUUGAUAAUAUUGAUAAAAAAAAGUUGCCGCACAUGUUGAAAAUGAGCAUAACGUGCAUCAGCAAGUAUUACUGUUACACAUCUAGAUCACUUGAUGGUGAGCUGCUUAAACACCUGUUCCUCUGAUUUGCCUAUAAAUAUGCACUUUGGAAAAUUUAAGAUUAUUGGCAAGUACUAAUUGUAGAUUUCACUUGUUACAUCAAUAAUCAAGCAUAUGGAAAAGUUGAUGGCCUUGAGUGGAUGUGCCAACUAGAAAUCCCUUACAGGCUGCCCAUUGGCAACUAUCAAAUACAUUUUUGCUAUGAUAUAUUGUAAUGCUGGCCAUUAGGUGUUGAGACCUUCAAUGUUUACACUAUUUGUGAAGAAAUUCCUGGAAGAAACUGACUUGCUUUCUACAAGUAAUAGCUUAGCCUUAAGCAAGAAAUUGUAUACCACUGUUACCAAAUGCAAAGGUAUCGCUUACAUGAAGUGAUCCUGACUAUGUGUAUGUAAUAAGCAGUUCUUGCUGCCUUUAAUUACAUUGGUGCAUAAUUUUGCACAGUAGCUACUUAGUAGGUCUGAAUCGAGUUUCAUAGAAGCAUUGUAUGUUCGAACUACAAAAAGUCUUGCAGUUUAUGCAAAAAUAUACUAUUCAAGAGUUGUAUGUUCAAAAACAAGUAUUGCAAGUAGCUGCCUUGAAACUGAGUUCUAUGUUCAAAAACAAAAGUAUUUCAUGUAUCUGCCUUGAAAACUAAAUCUCUAGUUUGCAUUUAUGAAUACUUUGCACUUAUGUCUGGACAGGGAGUGCGAAAUUCUUGAUUGCUUUGCCAUUUUCAUCCGAAGAUUCCUUCGACAAUUUUCAUCCAAAGCUCUUCUGCACAAGCGAUGAUGAUGAUGAUGAAUGCCAUAUGGCUAGUCAUUCAUUGUAAAUAUACUUACAACGCCCAGAGAUAAGCGUUGCUGUAAAUGAAGGGUCAAUAAAACGAUUCCACAAAAAGCCUAUGAAAAAAAAAUUGAGCAAAGCUUAUGAAAAAAAAAGAUAGAGGAAAACUUAUCAAAGGCUAGUGGAAAAAAAAAAAUUGGAAAGGUGUGGAAUCUGGGGCAGGUGCCAGGGGAGUAGGGAGCCUGCCAGAAAAAAUUAUAAGCACUCUAUUUGCAGCAACGUUAGCAGCUUUUGGUAUUGUGAAGUUUUAAGCAGAAGAAAAUGAAGAAUUCUUAAAUGAUGAAAUAAAGAACUCUUAAAACCAAUUGCACACAGUUUCCAGAGUGUUAUUCCAGGCCAGGCAGUAUUUGCCCCCCCCCCCCCCCCCAGACUCUUUGCUCACUGCUGCACUGUGCAGUAGAUUGGCAAGGGCGUGCUGGGAUUGAUGGCGCAAUCCAUGAACCCCUCCUUCACUUUGCAGAAGGGUUCAUGAAUUGACGCUUUUCUUGUAGUGCCACCUUUUUUUUUAGUGGUAAGCCAUGGAGAUACUGCAUAGAAGUUUACUGGAGGUCCUGUGGUGUGAAUGGUAUAGUAUGCAUUUACUCUUUGGUUGGCCAUGCUGUGGUGGUUACUGAAGUGGCAGGUAGUAAGCCUGUAGUCUUUGGAAUUGUGGGCGGUGUAAGUGUAAUAAGUCACAUAGCUGGUGUUUUAAGUAAAUUCACGGGAACAAAUCUUGUAGGUAGAUGUUUGCUAUGGCUCCUUUAGUGCGAGCUGCAUUAUAUACCAAGUGACAAUUAGUAUAGGUCUGGGUUGUGGUCUGGUGGGAUAUGACUUCAGUACUAAUUAGGCAAAUAGCUUUUGCAGAAAUAUUCAUGAUGUAGUAAUGUAAAUGUUGUGAUGUAAAUGUGAUUUGAUUGUAAUAUAUUUUGCUCAGCUUUGUUUUCCACAUGGCUUUUAGAAUAUCUAGUUUCCCACACAUAGCUUUCACAGUAUCGAUUCUGGAGAUAAGUAUGGGGUCUCUCCAUUUGCCCUCUUGCUGUGUAGGUGCUUAAAUACUCUGCUGCUUGCUGGUGUGAAUUUUUUUUACUAUACUCCGAAUGUGGAAGUGUACAGGGGUGUUAAAAAAAAAAAGGUUCUAUGUGGUGGUGGAGCACCUUCUCAUGAACUGUGGCAGACUUGCAAGGCUUCAGCUGUGCCUGUAUAGGCAGUCAUGCAUGUGUACUACCUCCAUUUAGAGGAGGUUGUGGUCAUUCUUGUUCGAAAGGUGUAGACAGUUACCCUUCCAGAUUGUCCCCACCCCGUUUUUUGUGUGGAAUAGUUGUCAAUUUUCUGUUCAAACUGUGAGAUCAAUUGAGCUUGUCUGGAGUAGUGGUGUUGCAUGCUAUGCUUGCUUACCCAGUUAAUUUCCUAGAUUUUCAGUUUUCCUCUUGAAGGACAAUAGUUCCCUUAAUUGGCCUUGCACAUUUACCUGUUCCCACAAUGUUUUCUGCUCCUGUCAUUCUCGGGCUCAUUCUGCUGACAUCUUUUGGUCUCUUAAAAGGUUAAAAGGGUGCUU